RNAcentral lists this ribosomal RNA (305 nucleotides) under uncultured bacterium. RNAcentral describes it as "bacterial SSU rRNA". It matches the Rfam family "Bacterial small subunit ribosomal RNA", at positions 334 to 635 of the family's 1533-position model. The record is from RNAcentral.
UGUUCCUACGGGGGGCAGCAGUGAGGAAUAUUGGUCAAUGGGCGGGAGCCUGAACCAGCCAAGUCGCGUGAGGGAAGACGGUCCUAUGGAUUGUAAACCUCUUUAGGCGGGGAGCAAUGCCGGGCACGUGUGCCCGGAGGGAGAGUACCCGCAGAAUAAGCAUCGGCUAACUCCGUGCCAGCAGCCGCGGUAAUACGGAGGAUGCGAGCGUUGUCCGGAUUUAUUGGGCGUAAAGCGAGUGCAGGCGGUUCAAUAAGUCUGAUGUGGAAGCCUUCGGCCCAACCGGCGAAUUGCAUCAGAAACUG